ACAAUCAAGAGGAAGAGGUCGGAAGGCUCAAAGUGGACCAGAAGUACCCAGGCGUAGGGGAAGGAAACAGGCGCCAAUAUCACCUGGUGUUGGUGGAGUAUCUGGUCUUGAUCCAAAACAAAAUGAAGCAUCACAGAACAUAUCUGUGAAUCCACUAGAAAAUCAAGCCAUUGGCAUGAGUGGAACUGUUUCUAGUACUUCCGCAGUCCAACAACCUGAGUCUUUUUCUGGUUCUGCUCCUUUACAAGGUGUGAAUGGGGCUGAUCAUCAAGUUGGUGAUGUUGUAGCUUUGAGUUCUCAGCCAGCCCUUUCUUCUCCAUCUGUUGCUCCUUUGUCUCAGUCUUCUCCUUCCCCUUCUGUACCCGAGCAAAUGAAAGGGCAAGACCGGAAGGUUCAAGGUGGUGUAGGGGCACCGCGACGUAGGGGAAAGAAACAGGCGCCAAUAUCACCUGCUGUUACUGAUGUGUUAGUUGGUCAAGAUUUGAAACCCAAUCUGCAACCACAGGAUAAACCUGGGGAUUCAUCUGGAAGCAAAGACAUUGCCAUGCAAAGUAAGCAAGAGGCUGAUGGUUUAGCUGGUCAGGAUCUGAACUUAACC
Molecule: long non-coding RNA, 598 nt
Filed under: Malus domestica (apple)
Lineage: Eukaryota; Viridiplantae; Streptophyta; Magnoliopsida; Rosales; Rosaceae
Description: long non-coding RNA (MDOM_LNC011990)
Source: RNAcentral